CUUUACAUGAUGAUUGCUGUUUGAUAAGAUACUAUAAGUAAUUUGUGUUGUUCGGUACCUUCUCUAAUAAUGUGGUUUAGGAGAGUCCAUAUCCCCUUAAUAUUAUUUUUGUUAUCCUCUAAUUUAUUCUUAUAAUAUUCUUUCUUACUUAAUCUUAUAAUAUUAGUUAAUUUAUUCUUAUAGCUCUUAUAUUUAUCUUCAGCGCCUUCUGUUAUCUGUUUUAUGAAGUUCCUAUAGAGUAAAUUUUUCUUUUUACAGGCAUUUCUUAAGCCUUUCGUCAACCAUGGACUGUUCUUAUAUUUAGUUUUUUUAUUAUAU
This is a long non-coding RNA of Syngnathus acus (greater pipefish), 318 nucleotides long. RefSeq lists it as uncharacterized. The transcript is spliced from 3 exons. The record is from RefSeq and is a predicted model, not a curated record. Lineage: Eukaryota; Metazoa; Chordata; Actinopteri; Syngnathiformes; Syngnathidae.